AGUUUGGGUGAUUGUCUGAAUGUUUUCCCAUCAGUAAGACUCCUCUGAUCUUUAGAGUGAACAAAAAUGACACUCUGGAUAAACCUCAUAUUAUUUUCAAUACUCCUCAGAGGUAUCCAGUCGGAGGUCCAGUUGGUGGAGUCUGGAGGGGAUGUGAGAAGACCUGGAGAUUCCCUCCAUCUCUCCUGCCAAGGCUCUGGAUUCAGCUUCAGCAGCUAUGGCAUGAGCUGGGUGAGACAGUAUCCUGGGAAAGGACUGGAAUGGGUGGCAGUCAUAUGGUAUGAUUCCAGUAAUAAAUACUACUCAGACAAAGUCAAGGGACGCUUCACCAUCUCCAGAGACAAUGCCAAAAGCCAGGUGUAUCUGCAAAUGAACAACCUCAAGCCCGAGGACACAGGACGCUAUUACUGUGCAAGAGACACAGUGAGAGGAAGUGAAUCUGAAGCCAAGCAAAAACUGCCCGUUCCUCAGAGCUGCUCUGUGAGUUUAUCCAUGAACCACAGCUUCAACUGGUACACUGAAAUUGUGAAGAAUCAUCCAAAAAACAAAACAAAAAAGGAGCACAAAAAGUUACUCUCCUGA
Python bivittatus (Burmese python) is the source of this 582-nucleotide non-coding RNA. The record is from the annotation of a RefSeq genome assembly. NCBI's taxonomy places the organism in Eukaryota, Metazoa, Chordata, Lepidosauria, Squamata, Pythonidae.